RNAcentral lists this ribosomal RNA (497 nucleotides) under uncultured bacterium. RNAcentral's name for it is "partial 16S ribosomal RNA". It matches the Rfam family "Bacterial small subunit ribosomal RNA", at positions 28 to 507 of the family's 1533-position model. The record is from RNAcentral.
GAUGAACGCUGGCGGCGUGCCUAAUACAUGCAAGUCGAGCGAACAGACGAGGAGCUUGCUCCUCUGACGUUAGCGGCGGACGGGGGAGGAACACGUGAAUAACCUACCUAUAAGACUGGGAUAACUUCGGGAAACCGGAGCUAAUACCGGAUAAUAUAUUGAACCGCAUGGUUCAAUAGUGAAAGACGGUUUUGCUGUCACUUAUAGAUGGAUCCGCGCCGCAUUAGCUAGUUGGUAAGGUAACGGCUUACCAAGGCAACGAUGCGUAGCCGACCUGAGAGGGUGAGCGGCCACACUGGAACUGAGACACGGUCCAGACUCCGACGGGAGGCAGCAGUAGGGAAUCGUCCGAAAUGGGCGAAAGCCUGACGGAGCAACGCCGCGUGAGUGAUGAAGGUCUUCGGAUCGUAAAACUCUGUUAUUAGGGAAGAACAAAUGUGUAAGUAAUUAUGCACGUCGUGACGGUACCUAAACAGAAAGCCACGGCUAACUACGUG